AACGAACGCUGGCGGCAUGCCUAACACAUGCAAGUCGAACGAGACCUUCGGGUCUAGUGGCGCGCGGGUGCGUAACGCGUGGGAACCUGCCCUUAGGUUCGGAAUAACUCCCCGAAAGGGGUGCUAAUACCGGAUAAUGUCUUCGGACCAAAGAUUUAUCGCCUUUGGAUGGGCCCGCGUUGGAUUAGCUAGUUGGUAGGGUAAAAGCCUACCAAGGCGACGAUCCAUAGCUGGUCUGAGAGGAUGAUCAGCCACACUGGGACUGAGACACGGCCCAGAAUCCUACGGGAGGAAGCAGUGGGGAAUAUUGGACAAUGGGCGAAAGGCUGAUCCAGCAAUGCCGCGUGAGUGAUGAAGGCCUUAGGGUUGUAAAGCUCUUUUACCCGGGAUGAUAAUGACAGUACCGGGAGAAUAAGCUCCGGCUAACUCCGUG
This 433-nucleotide ribosomal RNA is filed under the name uncultured bacterium. RNAcentral describes it as "partial 16S ribosomal RNA". It matches the Rfam family "Bacterial small subunit ribosomal RNA", at positions 29 to 507 of the family's 1533-position model. The record is from RNAcentral.